RNAcentral lists this ribosomal RNA (472 nucleotides) under uncultured bacterium. Its description in RNAcentral is "partial 16S ribosomal RNA". It matches the Rfam family "Bacterial small subunit ribosomal RNA", at positions 28 to 507 of the family's 1533-position model. The record is from RNAcentral.
GACGAACGCUGGCGGCGUGCUUAACACAUGCAAGUCGAACGCUGAAGCUUGGUGCUUGCACUGGGUGGAUUAGUGGCGAACGGGUGAGUAAUACGUGAGUAACCUGCCCUUGACUCUGGGAUAAGCCUGGGAAACUGGGUCUAAUACCGGAUAUGACAUGCCACUGCAUGGUGGUGUGUUGAAAGGGGUUUACUGGUUUUGGAUGGGCUCACGGCCUAUCAGCUUGUUGGUGUGGUAAUGGCAUACCAAGGCGACGAGAGGUAGCCGGCCUGAGAGGGUGAACGGCCACCAUGGGACUGAGACACGGCGCAGACUCCUACGUGAGGCAGCAGUGGGGAAUAUUGCACAAUGGGCGGAAGCCUGAGGCAGAGACGCCGCGUGCGGGAUGACGGCCUUCGGGUUGUAAACCUCUUUCAGCACGGAAGAAGCGAGAGUGACGGUACGUGCAGAAGAAGCGCCGGCUAACUACGUG